UACGUAGGGUCCGAGCGUUGUCCGGAAUUAUUGGGCGUAAAGGGCUCGUAGGCGGUCUGUCGCGUCGGGAGUGAAAUCUUACAGCUUAACUGUGAACUUGCUUUCGAUACGGGCAGACUUGAGGCAUUCAGGGGAGAACGGAAUUCCUGGUGUAGCGGUGAAAUGCGCAGAUAUCAGGAGGAACACCGAUAGCGAAGGCAGCUCGCUGGGACGUUACUGACACUGAGGCGCGAAAGCGUGGGGAGCGAACAGG
RNAcentral lists this ribosomal RNA (253 nucleotides) under uncultured bacterium. Its description in RNAcentral is "partial 16S ribosomal RNA". It matches the Rfam family "Bacterial small subunit ribosomal RNA", at positions 524 to 776 of the family's 1533-position model. The record is from RNAcentral.